GGAGCAGGGCCGGGGGUGAUGCUCAGCCCUCCGCGCCCCGAGGCUCCCGCCGCUCGCUGAGGAGAAGGGUGGGGGGCUCCCAGGCUGCGGCCCCCAAAACUCCCCCGCGGCCUCUGGGGAUGCCGGCGGUGGGUCCCCAGGGGCGAGGAUGCUCGCAGGGCUUGGCUUCAAAACCCUGAUGCUUGAGAGACCUGAGGAAGCAAAGACACUCCCUGCAGAUUCGCCCAGAUCAUGAACACCAUCAGACUGACUCAGCAAGUAUUUCUACAUAUGCCUAACCACAGAGGUGAUCUAGGAGAACCUACUCAAGAGCCACCUAAUA
This is a long non-coding RNA of Cygnus atratus (black swan), 322 nucleotides long. RefSeq lists it as uncharacterized. The record is from RefSeq and is a predicted model, not a curated record. The transcript is spliced from 3 exons. Lineage: Eukaryota; Metazoa; Chordata; Aves; Anseriformes; Anatidae.